This is an RNA transcript of Aedes aegypti (yellow fever mosquito), 1251 nucleotides long. It is a transcript of the gene named 17-beta-hydroxysteroid dehydrogenase 13, with no coding region annotated. Lineage: Eukaryota; Metazoa; Arthropoda; Insecta; Diptera; Culicidae. The record is from RefSeq and is a predicted model, not a curated record. The transcript has 6 exons.
GUUUGUGCCGUUCACAAUCGUUAGUUGUGAGGAACGAUAUGUGCCUUUGGAUGACUUUCAGUCUUAGUAAACGUAUUGCUCUCACCUAGAACGGAACAUCUUACGUAAAAGAGGGCUAUGGCUUACCUAAAGUGCCAGGACGAAGUUUAUGAAGCAGCAAAUGAAAGUGACACAGUUCCGUUUAGUUGGACCAAAGUGAUUUUAAAGUUGGUAGUGCAAACCAUUUUGAAUAUCCCCUACCAUGUGGUUGAUUUCAUCAAAGCGUACAUUUGGAGUCCGAAAAAGAACAUAAAAGGACACGUGGUGCUCGUGAGUGGAGGAGCAAAUGGGUUAGGCAGAGCGUUGUGUCUUCGGUUUGCUCGGGAGGGGUGCGCGGUAGCUGUGGUGGAUGUUGAUCAGAACGGUGCCACUAGAACAGUGAAUGAGAUUCGUCAGUUGGGGGUAAAGGCUGAGGCUUUUCAAGUGGAUGUCAGUGAUGUACGAUCGGUGAGGAAGUUGAGGAAGGAUGUUGAAAGAUCGCUAGGACCAGUGCAAAUAUUGGUCAACAACGCUGCAUUGCUGUCGUUUGCAUCGAUAAACCAGGGUAGCGAUGAUGAGGUUCAGAAACUAAUCAACGUAAAUUUAUCUUCACAUUUCUGGAUGAUUCGGCAAUUUCUUCCCGGGAUGCAGCAGAGAAAAGAAGGUCAUAUUGUAGCCAUAUCGUCAGUGCUAGGUAUCAUUUUGGAACACAUUCUCCAUGUAAUCGGGCAUCGAAAGGCUAAUGUUUAAUCGUUUAUAAUCGAAUUGUUCCGAACUUCCGUACGAUUGCGUACAGUGCCACCAAAUUUGGAAUCCGCGGGAUGAUGGCCUCUCUUAGUGAUGAACUGUAUUUCAGCGGAUUCGGCGACAAAGUUUUCACUACCUGUGUCUAUCCCGAUCUAAUUGCCACCAGAAAAGAGCUAAUACAAACAGUCAACAAAAUGGGCCUUUCAACGCAAGUGUUAUCACCUGAGCAUGCGGCCAACUUGGUGGUGGAUGGAGUUCUGCGGAACAAAACGGACAUUAUUCUGGCCUCGUUUCCAAUACGGAAAUUCAUAAAGCUUUCCGAGUUCUGCUCAUCGAGGAUGCGACGCAUUUACACUUCAUGUAUUUGUACUCAUCCAAAUGAAUAAUAAUUCAGUGCAAGAGAACGGCUUGCCAUAUAUGGUUAGUUAUAAUACUGACUACGGUUGUUUUAGUUAUCAAUAAAAAUGUCUUAAUUUUGGUUUUAUA